RNAcentral lists this microRNA (22 nucleotides) under Phaeodactylum tricornutum. RNAcentral's name for it is "pti-miR5476". The record is from miRBase by way of RNAcentral. Lineage: Eukaryota; Bacillariophyta; Bacillariophyceae; Surirellales; Neidiaceae.
UGACCGACCGCUACUACUCUUU